Molecule: long non-coding RNA, 903 nt
Filed under: Populus tremula
Lineage: Eukaryota; Viridiplantae; Streptophyta; Magnoliopsida; Malpighiales; Salicaceae
Description: long non-coding RNA (PTRE_LNC002987)
Source: RNAcentral
CCAGUUUGAGAUCUUGGUUUAUUUUACUUAUCCUACUUGUAUAAUUUUUAGGAAACAAUUAAUUAUCCAUGGUCAAGGUUUUGACUUUAUAUAAGAACUAGUUUUGCUACGGGGAAACUUCACUAGUUCAUUUAGCUUUCAAGGCUUUACUUAAUAACAUGUGAACUUUCUGCUCAACUAUAUUCUGCACUUUCUCUUUUAUCUAGUGGGGGAGAGAUAAAGAGAGAGAUUCCCAUCUGAAAAGAUAGAGAAUAUUGUGGAUGAAAGUUAGAAAAUGAAAGUUCGUAUUAUCUUUUGCAUUUCACAAAUUAACUAGUUGUUGUUUGUCUUGCUUUAGCUGACCUUGCAAUCAAAGAAAGGAGCAAUUAUGAUGAUAUUUACCUUUCUUAUUUUGUUACAGGACAGAUAGACAACUCCACUUAAGAUUCUACCAAUCUGGGAUCAUCUUCUUCAACGAAGCUUGAUGGGAGUUGCUUUGUUACAUAUUGCAAUGAGCUUUCUUGUGUUUCAUAUGAAGCAGGACAACUAGGGUCUUCCAAGGUAUGACCUCCUCUCAACUUUGUAAACUGGGUUAGAUUUGGUCACAUAUGGAGCAAACUCAUGAAAUUUUAAAUAUACAAUCCUCUGAAAUUUGAACUUUUGGGUGUUGAUGUACUAACAUUAGAGUUUGAAACCUUGGAUAAUGUUUCGUGUAGGUGAGAGAAAUCACUGGUGGUGGUUUUGAAACACUCAGAGGGGAUAAAACACAGUUUUAUUUCAAGAACAAAAAGCUUACAAUAACACAAAAGCUUUAAUACAUGCCCUCUCUCUCUAUAUCUAGUGUUUCUCUCUAAACUCUCCACACAAAAUAACAUUAACUUAACACACUAUUUAUACAUAAAUUCAGAAUGCGAAAAUUCAAAC